CCUACGUGAGUCAGCAGUGGGGAAUAUUGGUCAAUGAGCGCAAGCCUGACCCAGCAACGCCUCGUGAAGGAAGAAGGCUUUCGGGUUUUACACUUCUUUUCUGAGGGACGAACAAAGUGACGGUACCUCAGUAAUAAGCAACGCCUAACUACGUGCCACCAGCCGCGCUAAUACGUCGGUGGCAAUCGUUAUCCGGAUUUAUUGGGUGUAAAGGGCGUGUAGGCGGGAAAGCAAGUCCGAUGUGAAAACUCAGGGCUCCACCCUGAGCCUGCAUUUGAAACUGUUUUUCUUGAGUGCUGGAGAGGCAAUCGGAAUGCCGGGUGUAGCGGUGAAAUGCGUAGAUAUACGGAGGAACACCAGUGGCGAAGGCGGAUUGCUGGACAGUAACUGACGCUGAGGCGCGAAAGCGUGGGGAGCAAACAGGAUUAGAUACCCCUGUAGUC
Molecule: ribosomal RNA, 443 nt
Filed under: uncultured bacterium
Lineage: Bacteria
Description: partial 16S ribosomal RNA
Rfam family: Bacterial small subunit ribosomal RNA
Source: RNAcentral